GACGAACGCUGGCGGCGUGCCUAAUACAUGCAAGUUGAGCGAUGAAGAUUGGUGCUUGCACCAAUUUGAAGAGCAGCGAACGGGUGAGUAACGCGUGGGGAAUCUGCCUUUGAGCGGGGGACAACAUUUGGAAACGAAUGCUAAUACCGCAUAACAACUUUAAACAUAAGUUUUAAGUUUGAAAGAUGCAAUUGCAUCACUCAAAGAUGAUCCCGCGUUGUAUUAGCUAGUUGGUGAGGUAAAGGCUCACCAAGGCGAUGAUACAUAGCCGACCUGAGAGGGUGAUCGGCCACAUUGGGACUGAGACAAGGCCCAAACUCCUACGGGAGGCAGCAGUAGGGAAUCUUCGGCAAUGGACGAAAGUCUGACCGCGCAACGACGCGUGAGUGAAGAAGGUUUUCGGAUCGUAAAACUCUGUUGGUAGAGAAGAACGUUGGUGAGAGUGGAAAGCUCAUCAAGUGACGGUAACUACCCAGAAAGGGACGGCUAACUACGUG
RNAcentral lists this ribosomal RNA (497 nucleotides) under uncultured bacterium. Its description in RNAcentral is "partial 16S ribosomal RNA". It matches the Rfam family "Bacterial small subunit ribosomal RNA", at positions 28 to 507 of the family's 1533-position model. The record is from RNAcentral.